GUAGGGGCCAAGCGUUAUCCGGAUUUAUUGGGCGUAAAGAGCUCGUAGGCGGCUUGGCAAGUCGGUCGUGAAAGUCCGAGGCUCAACCUCGGAAUGCCGGUCGAAACUGCCAUGGCUAGGGUCCGGUAGAGGAGAGUGGAAUUCUCGGUGUAGCGGUGAAAUGCGCAGAUAUCGAGAGGAACACCAGUAGCGAAGGCGGCUCUCUGGGCCGAUACCGACGCUGAGGAGCGAAAGCGUGGGGAGCAAACAGGAUUAGAUACCCUGGUAGUCCACGCCGUAAACGGUGAUCACUAGGUGUGGCGGACUCAUUGACGUCUGCUGUGCCGGCGCUAACGCAUUAAGUGAUCCGCCUGGGGAGUACGGCCGCAAGGCUA
RNAcentral lists this ribosomal RNA (374 nucleotides) under uncultured organism. RNAcentral describes it as "partial 16S ribosomal RNA". It matches the Rfam family "Bacterial small subunit ribosomal RNA", at positions 527 to 896 of the family's 1533-position model. The record is from RNAcentral.